RNAcentral lists this ribosomal RNA (1257 nucleotides) under Salmonella enterica. RNAcentral describes it as "partial 23S ribosomal RNA". It matches the Rfam family "Bacterial large subunit ribosomal RNA", at positions 1481 to 2716 of the family's 2925-position model. Lineage: Bacteria; Pseudomonadati; Pseudomonadota; Gammaproteobacteria; Enterobacterales; Enterobacteriaceae. The record is from RNAcentral.
GCUAUGUUGGCCGGGCGACGGUUGUCCCGGUUUAAGCGUGUAGGUGUGUGUUCCAGGUAAAUCCGGUUCACUUUAACACUGAGGCGUGAUGACGAGGCACCACGGUGCUGAAGCAACAAAUGCCCUGCUUCCAGGAAAAGCCUCUAAGCCUCAGGUAACAUCAAAUCGUACCCCAAACCGACACAGGUGGUCAGGUAGAGAAUACCAAGGCGCUUGAGAGAACUCGGGUGAAGGAACUAGGCAAAAUGGUGCCGUAACUUCGGGAGAAGGCACGCUGACACGUAGGUGAAGUGGUUUACCCAUGGAGCUGAAGUCAGUCGAAGAUACCAGCUGGCUGCAACUGUUUAUUAAAAACACAGCACUGUGCAAACACGAAAGUGGACGUAUACGGUGUGACGCCUGCCCGGUGCCGGAAGGUUAAUUGAUGGGGUCAGCGCAAGCGAAGCUCCUGAUCGAAGCCCCGGUAAACGGCGGCCGUAACUAUAACGGUCCUAAGGUAGCGAAAUUCCUUGUCGGGUAAGUUCCGACCUGCACGAAUGGCGUAAUGAUGGCCAGGCUGUCUCCACCCGGGACUCAGUGAAAUUGAACUCGCUGUGAAGAUGCAGUGUACCCGCGGCAAGACGGAAAGACCCCGUGAACCUUUACUAUAGCUUGACACUGAACACUGGUCCUUGAUGUGCAGGAUAGGUGGGAGGCUUUGAAGUGUGGACGCCAGUCUGCAUGGAGCCAUCCUUGAAAUACCACCCUUUAAUGGCUGGUGUUCUAACGUGGGCCCGUGAACCGGGUUGCGGACAGUGUCUGGUGGGUAGUUUGACUGGGGCGGUCUCCUCCUAAAGAGUAACGGAGGAGCACGAAGGUUGGCUAAUCCUGGUCGGACAUCAGGAGGUUAGUGCAAUGGCAUAAGCCAGCUUGACUGCGAGCGUGACGGCGCGAGCAGGUGCGAAAGCAGGUCAUAGUGAUCCGGUGGUUCUGAAUGGAAGGGCCAUCGCUCAACGGAUAAAAGGUACUCCGGGGAUAACAGGCUGAUACCGCCCAAGAGUUCAUAUCGACGGCGGUGUUUGGCACCUCGAUGUCGGCUCAUCACAUCCUGGGGCUGAAGUAGGUCCCAAGGGUAUGGCUGUUCGCCAUUUAAAGUGGUACGCGAGCUGGGUUUAGAACGUCGUGAGACAGUUCGGUCCCUAUCUGCCGUGGGCGCUGGAAGAUUGAGGGGGGCUGCUCCUAGUACGAGAGGACCGGAGUGGACGCAUCACUGGUGUU